CCUACGGGUGGCAGCAGUCGAGAAUCAUUCACAAUGGGGGAAACCCUGAUGGUGCGACGCCGCGUGGGGGAAUGAAGGUCUUCGGAUUGUAAACCCCUGUCAUGUGGGAGCAAAUUAAAAAGAUAGUACCACAAGAGGAAGAGACGGCUAACUCUGUGCCAGCAGCCGCGGUAAUACAGAGGGCUCAAGCGUUGUUCGGAAUCACUGGGCGUAAGGCGUGCGUAGGCUGUUUCGUAAGUCGUGUGUGAAAGGCGCGGGCUCAACCCGCGGACGGCACAUGAUACUGCGAGACUAGAGUAAUGGAGGGGGAACCGGAAUUCUCGGUGUAGCAGUGAAAUGCGUAGAUAUCGAGAGGAACACUCGUGGCGAAGGCGGGUUCCUGGACAUUAACUGACGCUGAGGCACGAAGGCCAGGGGAGCGAAAGGGAUUAGAUACCCGAGUAGUC
This 446-nucleotide ribosomal RNA is filed under the name uncultured bacterium. RNAcentral describes it as "partial 16S ribosomal RNA". It matches the Rfam family "Bacterial small subunit ribosomal RNA", at positions 338 to 795 of the family's 1533-position model. The record is from RNAcentral.